This 498-nucleotide ribosomal RNA is filed under the name uncultured bacterium. Its description in RNAcentral is "partial 16S ribosomal RNA". It matches the Rfam family "Bacterial small subunit ribosomal RNA", at positions 27 to 507 of the family's 1533-position model. The record is from RNAcentral.
GGAUGAACGCUGGCGGCGUGCCUACUCCAUGCAAGUCGAGCGAACAGACGAGGAGCUUGCUCCUCUGACGUUAGCGGCGGACGGGUGAGUAACACGUGGAUAACCUACCUAUAUGACUGGGAUAACUUCGGGAAACCGGAGCUAAUACCGGAUAAUAUAUUGAACCGCAUGGUUCAAUAGUGAAAGACGGUUUUGCUGUCACUUAUAGAUGGAUCCGCGCCGCAUUAGCUAGUUGGUAAGGUAACGGCUUACCAAGGCAACGAUGCGUAGCCGACCUGAGAGGGUGAUCGGCCACACUGGAACUGAGACACGGUCCAGACUCCUACGGGAGGCAGCAGUAGGGAAUCUUCCGCAAUGGGCGAAAGCCUGACGGAGCAACGCCGCGUGAGUGAUGAAGGUCUUCGGAUCGUAAAACUCUGUUAUUAGGGAAGAACAAAUGUGUAAGUAACUAUGCACGUCUUGACGGUACCUAAUCAGAAAGCCACGGCUAACUACGUG